RNAcentral lists this long non-coding RNA (231 nucleotides) under Lathyrus oleraceus (garden pea). RNAcentral describes it as "Pisum sativum (pea) long non-coding RNA (PSAT_LNC036082)". Lineage: Eukaryota; Viridiplantae; Streptophyta; Magnoliopsida; Fabales; Fabaceae. The record is from RNAcentral.
AAAAUGGGAAUGCCUUCGCUGAGAAUCGAAGGAGGUAAGGACCAAAACGACGCCGCCCUCAUUAAAUGAGUUGGCAGCCAACUCAUCAGUCCAAGGUUGCGUGGAAGCGGUCAAAUGAACGAUGUCCAACCAAAUUGCCAUAAGGCGCUCGCGUGGCAUACAACAUGUAUAAACCCUAGCGCCAGCCAGGUCUGUACAGACGACGGCGGUCAAGGCGGAAACCACCGUCUC